CAAACGCUUCCAAAGUAAACCGCUCAAUUCAGCUCUCAGCCAGAAACAGAGACGCGACAGAGCUCAUACCAAGAAAGAAUCUCUUCUUUCUUGCUUCUGGAGCCUUCUAAUUGGAGAAGAGAAAGAGAGAAAAUCAUCAAGCCCAAUAAAGGAACUCAUGGCAAUACGCACUGUCCGAAUUCGUGACAUUGAGCCCUGCCAAAAUAACAUCCAGAUCAGAGUCCGUGUAUGCAGGCGUUGGGAAUCAAAAAAAUACAAACCUGUGGAAAAAAAUGAAGGCCUCCAAUUUAUAUUGGUGGAUGAAAUGGUCAGAUACUUAAUACCCUACUUCAUUUCUGAUUACUAAAUUAAGCAAGAAGAACAUUAAAUUUUUAUAUUUUACAAUUAGAAUGAUGCAAUCCACGGAUUCAUAAGACAAGGGAACUGCGAACUACUCGCAUCCAACAUUGUUCAAGGAAAUAUAUAUGAAAUCAGCCGCUUCUUUACAAGCUACAGCCAGCCAAGCUACAAAAUAGUACCACACCCUGCACAAAUCCAUUUCACUGGCAAGACCAUUAUUAAGCACAUUCCAGAAUUACCAGCCUCUAUUCCACUACAUCACUUCUACUUGAUCGACUACAGUCUUCUUGCCAGCCGUUCAAAGAACGAAACCUCUCAGACAUUUUCGGCAGAAUCAAAAUGAUUCAACCUCCUGAAGAGAAGCUGACAUCUGACAACCGAAUCACGUUGCGAUGUGAGUAUGUGACAUCUACAUGCAGAAUAUACGAAAAGAAGAUGUACAAGUCACUUUGUGGGGAGACGUUGCACGCACAGUUAAUGUUGAUGGUAUUAGGACAACGCCUCCACCUGCACUUGCGGUUUUUACAAGCCUUAAGGUUACCAAGUAUCCAAACAAAAUUGCACUAUCAAACACAGGGAACACCUUCUUUUUCCUGAAUCCAGAUAUCAAAGAGGCUGAGGACUACAAACAUUACUUUGGCGAACCUCAUCAUGCUGCACACAUUUUAUCAAGCCAACCCAAACAACCAAGGACUCCGGCAGAAUUACAGGCUGUCAAACAGAUGUCUGUCUCAGAUUUAAACAUCUGUGAUCCAAACAACUAUAAGAAUAUACCGGUAAAUUGCACAGCGAAGAUAGGCAAAUUUGUGCCAGAAGAAAGGUGGUUCUAUUUAGCUUGCCCAAAAUGCUUCAAGGAAAUGAGGAAAAAGCCACAAAGCCAAUUACUAAUCUGUACAGAACAUGAUAUGCAGCAACCUCUUUACAGAUUCAUAGUAACUGCAUUGAUAACUGAUGAGGCAUCAGCUAUCAUAAAGGGGAAACAAGCGGAGGAACUAUUUGGUACGACAUGUGAGGACCUCAUCCUCAACCAAAUAUACUACCACCAGAAAUUCUCCGAAUAGAGGGCCAAAUCAAACUGCUGGAACUUGAAAUAGGCACUGCACAAAAUGUUAUUGUCAAGGGAAUACAUGAAGAUAUUCGUGGACUAAAUCCAACUCAGAGAAUUCAGCCCUCUAGCUCAACAGCCGACAACAUCCAGCCCUCAAGCUCAACACCCGACAAAGUUGCAACAAAAAAAAAAAGGAACAAUCAAUCGUCUGAGUCUGACAAACAACUUUCCAAAACAUAUCCAACCAAAAAUCUCAAAAUGAAUGACAUCCUCACAGAUUCACUUGAAGACUCAUUUCGAGAAAUUUAACAUAUACAAUAAUAAUGUUAUUUUCAUUUACUACAGGAAUGACAUCCUCACAGAUUCACUUGAAGACUCAUUUCGAGACUCAUCUGAAGACCUGAUGUAAAUAGCUACCGGUCUUCACAUGUCUGAAGACCUAAUGUAAAUAGCUAUCCAUCUUCACAUGUUUUGGCCAAGCCUAACUAUUUUUGGCACAAUGUACAUAAACAACUACUUGGUUAGCAUGCAUAUUUUUGGAAAUCUAGCUAAAUACCAGAU
This is an RNA transcript of Rosa chinensis, 1948 nucleotides long. RefSeq lists it as uncharacterized. The transcript is spliced from 10 exons. The record is from RefSeq and is a predicted model, not a curated record. Lineage: Eukaryota; Viridiplantae; Streptophyta; Magnoliopsida; Rosales; Rosaceae.